This 154-nucleotide small nuclear RNA is filed under the name Myotis davidii. RNAcentral describes it as "U2 spliceosomal RNA". It matches the Rfam family "U2 spliceosomal RNA". From Rfam's summary of the family: U2 is a small nuclear RNA (snRNA) component of the spliceosome (involved in pre-mRNA splicing). Complementary binding between U2 snRNA (in an area lying towards the 5' end but 3' to hairpin I) and the branchpoint sequence (BPS) of the intron results the bulging out of an unpaired adenosine, on the BPS, which initiates a nucleophilic attack at the intronic 5' splice site, thus starting the first of two transesterification reactions that mediate splicing. Lineage: Eukaryota; Metazoa; Chordata; Mammalia; Chiroptera; Vespertilionidae. The record is from Rfam by way of RNAcentral.
AUAUCACUUAGUCUUUUGGCUAAGAUCAAGUGUAGUAUCUGUUCUUAUCAGUUCAGUAGUUGGAUAGUCCCAUAUUCUUUUCCCUAUUUUAUGGUAAUCUACUACCUAUAUUAUAGUUUAUUCAUUCUACUCCUGAUUGGACUAUGAAAUGUGU